Molecule: ribosomal RNA, 542 nt
Filed under: uncultured Staphylococcus sp.
Lineage: Bacteria; Bacillati; Bacillota; Bacilli; Caryophanales; Staphylococcaceae
Description: partial 16S ribosomal RNA
Source: RNAcentral
UCCCCAGGCGGAGUGCUUAAUGCGUUAGCUGCAGCACUAAGGGGCGGAAACCCCCUAACACUUAGCACUCAUCGUUUACGGCGUGGACUACCAGGGUAUCUAAUCCUGUUUGAUCCCCACGCUUUCGCACAUCAGCGUCAGUUACAGACCAGAAAGUCGCCUUCGCCACUGGUGUUCCUCCAUAUCUCUGCGCAUUUCACCGCUACACAUGGAAUUCCACUUUCCUCUUCUGCACUCAAGUUUUCCAGUUUCCAAUGACCCUCCACGGUUGAGCCGUGGGCUUUCACAUCAGACUUAAAAAACCGCCUACGCGCGCUUUACGCCCAAUAAUUCCGGAUAACGCUUGCCACCUACGUAUUACCGCGGCUGCAGGCACGUAGUUAGCCGUGGCUUUCUGAUUAGGUACCGUCAAGAUGCGCACAGUUACUUACACAUAUGUUCUUCCCUAAUAACAGAGUUUUACGAUCCGAAGACCUUCAUCACUCACGCGGCGUUGCUCCGUCAGGCUUUCGCCCAUUGCGGAAGAUUCCCUACUGCUGCCU